Molecule: ribosomal RNA, 253 nt
Filed under: uncultured bacterium
Lineage: Bacteria
Description: partial 16S ribosomal RNA
Rfam family: Bacterial small subunit ribosomal RNA
Source: RNAcentral
UACGAAGGGUGCAAGCGUUAAUCGGAAUUACUGGGCGUAAAGGGUGCGUAGGCGGUUCGUUAAGUCUGUUGUGAAAUCCCCGGGCUCAACCUGGGAAUGGCAAUGGAUACUGGCGGGCUAGAGUGUGUCAGAGGAUGGUGGAAUUCCCGGUGUAGCGGUGAAAUGCGUAGAGAUGCGGAGGAACACCGAUGGCGAAGGCAGCCCCCUGGGCUGACACUGACGCUCAGGCACGAAAGCGUGGGGAGCAAACAGG